RNAcentral lists this ribosomal RNA (1361 nucleotides) under uncultured bacterium. RNAcentral's name for it is "bacterial SSU rRNA". It matches the Rfam family "Bacterial small subunit ribosomal RNA", at positions 28 to 1381 of the family's 1533-position model. The record is from RNAcentral.
GAUGAACGCUAGCUACAGGCUUAACACAUGCAAGUCGAGGGGCAGCAUUUUUAGUUUUGCUUGCAAACUGAAGAUGGCGACCGGCGCACGGGUGAGUAACACGUAUCCAACCUGCCGAUAACUCCGGGAUAGCCUUUCGAAAGAAAGAUUAAUACCGGAUAGUAUACGAAUAUCGCAUGAUAUUUUUAUUAAAGAAUUUCGGUUAUCGAUGGGGAUGCGUUCCAUUAGUUUGUUGGCGGGGUAACGGCCCACCAAGACUACGAUGGAUAGGGGUUCUGAGAGGAAGGUCCCCCACAUUGGAACUGAGACACGGUCCAAACUCCUACGGGAGGCAGCAGUGAGGAAUAUUGGUCAAUGGGCGAGAGCCUGAACCAGCCAAGUAGCGUGAAGGAUGAAGGCUCUAUGGGUCGUAAACUUCUUUUAUAUGGGAAUAAAGUUUUCCACGUGUGGAAUUUUGUAUGUACCAUAUGAAUAAGGAUCGGCUAACUCCGUGCCAGCAGCCGCGGUAAUACGGAGGAUCCGAGCGUUAUCCGGAUUUAUUGGGUUUAAAGGGAGCGUAGGUGGAUUGUUAAGUCAGUUGUGAAAGUUUGCGGCUCAACCGUAAAAUUGCAGUUGAAACUGGCAGUCUUGAGUACAGUAGAGGUGGGCGGAAUUCGUGGUGUAGCGGUGAAAUGCUUAGAUAUCACGAAGAACUCCGAUUGCGAAGGCAGCUCAUUAGACUGUUACUGACACUGAUGCUCGAAAGUGUGGGUAUCAAACAGGAUUAGAUACCCUGGUAGUCCACACAGUAAACGAUGAAUACUCGCUGUUUGCGAUAUACAGUAAGCGGCCAAGCGAAAGCAUUAAGUAUUCCACCUGGGGAGUACGCCGGCAACGGUGAAACUCAAAGGAAUUGACGGGGGCCCGCACAAGCGGAGGAACAUGUGGUUUAAUUCGAUGAUACGCGAGGAACCUUACCCGGGCUUAAAUUGCAACAGAAUAUAUUGGAAACAGUAUAGCCGUAAGGCUGUUGUGAAGGUGCUGCAUGGUUGUCGUCAGCUCGUGCCGUGAGGUGUCGGCUUAAGUGCCAUAACGAGCGCAACCCUUAUCUUUAGUUACUAACAGGUCAUGCUGAGGACUCUAGAGAGACUGCCGUCGUAAGAUGUGAGGAAGGUGGGGAUGACGUCAAAUCAGCACGGCCCUUACGUCCGGGGCUACACACGUGUUACAAUGGGGGGUACAGAAGGCGGCUACCUGGUGACAGGAUGCUAAUCCCAAAAACCUCUCUCAGUUCGGAUCGAAGUCUGCAACCCGACUUCGUGAAGCUGGAUUCGCUAGUAAUCGCGCAUCAGCCAUGGCGCGGUGAAUACGUUCCCGGGCCU